UGCGCCAUAUGUCUUGAACGACGCCCCUCAAACACCAAAGAGCCAUAUGUUACCUCACUGUAUCCCAGACCGACCCUGGCAGGUCGUGAACGACACCCCUCAAACACCAAAGAGCCAUAUGUUACCUCACUGUAUCCCAGACCGACCCUGGCAGGUCGUGAACGACACCCCUCAAACACCAAAGAGCCAUAUGUUACCUCACUGUAUCCCAGACCGACCCUGGCAGGUCGUGAACGACACCCCUCAAACACCAAAGAGCCAUAUGUUACCUCACUGUAUCCCAGACCGACCCUGGCAGGUCGUGAACGACACCCCUCAAACACCAAAGAGCCAUAUGUUACCUCACUGUAUCCCAGACCGACCCUGGCAGGUCGUGAACGACACCCCUCAAACACCAAAGAGCCAUAUGUUACCUCACUGUAUCCCAGACCGACCCUGGCAGGUCGUGAACGACACCCCUCAAACACCAAAGAGCCAUAUGUUACCUCACUGUAUCCCAGACCGACCCUGGCAGGUCGUGAACGACACCCCUCAAACACCAAAGAGCCAUAUGUUACCUCACUGUAUCCCAGAC
Oncorhynchus keta (chum salmon) is the source of this 574-nucleotide long non-coding RNA. RefSeq lists it as uncharacterized. The record is from RefSeq and is a predicted model, not a curated record. The transcript has 5 exons. NCBI's taxonomy places the organism in Eukaryota, Metazoa, Chordata, Actinopteri, Salmoniformes, Salmonidae.